GAUGAACGCUAGCGGCAGGCCUAAUACAUGCAAGUCGAGGGGUAACAUAGAGAGCUUGCUUUCUGAUGACGACCGGCGGACGGGUGCGUAACGCGUAUGUAACCUACCUAUUACUGGGGGAUAGCCCGGAGAAAUUCGGAUUAAUACCCCAUGGUACCAUAAUGUAGCAUUGCAUAAUGGUUAAAGAUUUAUUGGUAAUAGAUGGGCAUGCGUAAGAUUAGCUAGUUGGUAAGGUAAUGGCUUACCAAGGCUACGAUCUUUAGGGGGUCUGAGAGGAUGAUCCCCCACACUGGAACUGAGACACAGUCCAG
Molecule: ribosomal RNA, 311 nt
Filed under: uncultured bacterium
Lineage: Bacteria
Description: bacterial SSU rRNA
Rfam family: Bacterial small subunit ribosomal RNA
Source: RNAcentral